Molecule: unclassified non-coding RNA, 322 nt
Filed under: soil metagenome
Description: partial contains 5.8S ribosomal RNA, internal transcribed spacer 2, and large subunit ribosomal RNA
Rfam family: 5.8S ribosomal RNA (bases 1-121)
Source: RNAcentral
GAUGAAGAACGCAGCGAAAUGCGAUAAGUAAUGCGAAUUGCAGAAUUUCCGUGAGUCAUCGAAUCUUUGAACGCACAUUGCGCCCCUUGGUAUUCCGGGGGGCAUGCCUGUUCGAGCGUCAUUAUCACCACUCAAGCUCUGCUUGGUUCUGGAUCACGCCGGUAGCGGCUGAUCUUAAAUUCAGUGGCGGCCUCUAUAGGUUCUUCGCGUAGUAAUUCUCUCGCGUGGACACUAUAGAUCAGUCGACCAAAAACCAUUUCUAGGUUGACCUCGGAUCAGGUAGGAAUACCCGCUGAACUUAAGCAUAUCAAUAAGCGGAGGA